GUGGGGAAUAUUGGACAAUGGGCGAAAGCCUGAUCCAGCCAUGCCGCGUGUGUGAAGAAGGUCUUCGGAUUGUAAAGCACUUUAAGUUGGGAGGAAGGGUAGUAACCUAAUACGUUGCUACUUUGACGUUACCGACAGAAUAAGCACCGGCUAACUUCGUGCCAGCAGCCGCGGUAAUACGAAGGGUGCAAGUGUUAAUCGGAAUUACUGGGCGUAAAGCGCGCGUAGGUGGUUCAGUAAGUUGGAAGUGAAAUCCCCGGGCUCAACCUGGGAACUGCUUUCAAAACUGCUGAGCUAGAGUACGGUAGAGGGUUGUGGAAUUUCCUGUGUAGCGGUGAAAUGCGUAGAUAUAGGAAGGAACACCAGUGGCGAAGGCGACUACCUGGACUGAUACUGACACUGAGGUGCGAAAGCGUGGGGAGCAAACAGGAUUAGAAACCCGGGUAGUCC
RNAcentral lists this ribosomal RNA (450 nucleotides) under uncultured bacterium. Its description in RNAcentral is "partial 16S ribosomal RNA". It matches the Rfam family "Bacterial small subunit ribosomal RNA", at positions 354 to 796 of the family's 1533-position model. The record is from RNAcentral.